This 399-nucleotide ribosomal RNA is filed under the name uncultured bacterium. Its description in RNAcentral is "partial 16S ribosomal RNA". It matches the Rfam family "Bacterial small subunit ribosomal RNA", at positions 360 to 774 of the family's 1533-position model. The record is from RNAcentral.
AAUAUUGCACAAUGGAGGGAACUCUGAUGCAGCAACGCCGCGUGAGUGAAGAAGGUUUUCGGAUCGUAAAACUCUGUCAUUGGGGAAGAAUAAAUGACGGUACCCAAUGAGGAAGCCCCGGCUAACUAGGUGCCAGCAGCCGCGGUAAUACGUAGGGGGCGAGCGUUGUCCGGAAUUACUGGGCGUAAAGGGUACGUAGGCGGCUAUAUAAGUCAGGUGUGAAAUACCAGUGCUUAACACUGGAAUUGCAUUUGAAACUGUGUAGCUUGAGUGCAGGAGAGGAAAGUGGAAUUCCUAGUGUAGCGGUGAAAUGCGUAGAUAUUAGGAGGAAUACCAGUGGCGAAGGCGACUUUCUGGACAUAUACUGACGCUGAGGAACGAAAGCGUGGGGAGCAAACA